This is a long non-coding RNA of Dama dama (fallow deer), 1833 nucleotides long. RefSeq lists it as uncharacterized. The transcript is spliced from 3 exons. NCBI's taxonomy places the organism in Eukaryota, Metazoa, Chordata, Mammalia, Artiodactyla, Cervidae. The record is from RefSeq and is a predicted model, not a curated record.
GCCUGCAUUGGGGAGUGGGGUCCCAUGCCCUGUGGUCCAGGCACUCUAGAUCCAAGGAGGGCGUGUUUUCGGUACAUCCUCCGGUUUCUUCAAUUCAGCGCUGUCUGGACUUGAGUCCCAAGGCUGCUCAGGUUCCUGGGGUGUGACAGUGGUCCAAGGCCCCCAGGCCUGAGAGGAAUACUCUUCACAUUUGGUUUCUUCAAAAGUUAAUUUUUUCUUGUGCGGUGGAUACAGUUCAUUUCCAGUGUCCAUUUGUUUUGGGUAUACAGCCGCAUGAUUCACUUCCACAUGUAUGUAUUCCUCUUGGAAUUGUCUUGCGCUGAAGGUAGUUAAAGGCUGCUGAGCAGAAUGGCCUGUGCUGUAUCCUUGGUCUUUGUGGAUUAUUUAUCGUACAUAUGUAUGACUGUCCCUCUGUGAAUCCCAAGUUCCUAAUUUACAAAACUCAGUUGAGAAAUGUAUUCAUUGAUGUCAACAUUUAGGUACCAAAUACAGUUUUUUUAGGCUGUUGGUCCUCUCUGCCUGCCUGCCUUAGGAUAUUCAUCAGUAUAUCCGUUGUUGCUGGAAAAGAGUUUUCAUGCUUUUUGAUUUCUAUGUGUUAUUCCAUGGAAUAUUUGUUUAUGCAUGAGUGUGUAUAUGCAUUUAUAUGUGUGAUUGUUUACCGUGUUUAUCCACUCAUCUGAAAAUGGACACUUUGAGGUGCACGCAGUUUUCUUGUUGUUACAGAAGUGUCCACAAGGCAGCGGCAUCCCCUCAGGCCCUGCUCUUGUUUUUGGCGACUGGAUCCCUACAGAAGUCUGCACCUGUUAAGGGCUUGUCUCAUCAUCUUCCCCCUUACCCUGCACCCCAGACACAGAUUCGAAGGCUACCUGAAGUGCGAUGCUGGGGAUGCCCUGUUAGGUGGGAAGAUGCUCAGAAGACUAUCCGUGGGAACGCCACAUAUUCUGUUAUUAUUCUAAGAAAGUCUGAUGCAAAAAUCUUCUAUGCUAUUGUAUGGAAGAUUAAAUUUUACUGUUGUGUGGUGAGACUCCUCAGUGCCUGACUGUCAUUGGAAUUGGAUGCUCCAACACAGAGUCUGCAGUGUGUUCACAAGUCCAGAUUAACAGAAUCUGCCUACCAUCAGCCCCAGGUAUACAGUAGAGAUAGAUGUAUGACCUGGACAGGAAGCUCCCAACAGCUGCGGGACCAGGUAGGAAGCAGAAUCUGACACGGCAGGACCGGGCCCGCUGGAGCAGAUGCAGCCGUCUGCCUGGCCUGGGAACGGGAGCCCAGCACCUGAUCUGUAUUACAGCAAAGCUAGAUAAGUGAUUUGGAAUUCUUUUUAUUUUUAGAUGGCAACCAUACAUUUUUUUUCCAAAAAUGUAUUGGGUGGGGGGAGGGAGUUGGUGACAGUUGUAGCCUAUAGUUGACCUGUCUGCAAGCUUCUGGAAGCCUCCUUUGGCAUCAUGAGUUGCUUUAGGUUUCUGAGUCUUCCAUCAAAUUUAAAACAACUCUCACUGGUCAAAAAUCAGAGAAGCAAGGCUCAAAAUCAUCAUUCUAUGUACUCGUAGUAUAUAACAAACAUAAGUGAAAAACAUCAAUGAGAUAAAAAAAUUCUCAGUUUGGAAUAUAAAAUGUGGUGUAAGUGGCCCAGGCAACUGUGUGACCAAGAAAUACAUGUUGUUGACUAUACUGUUUUAGUCUGUGAUGUUUUUAUGUAAAGGAACUUCAUAAUAAGCUUGAUUUCCUAGCGCACUGUAAACCACAGAAAUAGGCUGAAAGAAGUCUUUCCUAGUCGCAGUGUUCAGGGCUAUCUGUCGCAUACUGCACGGCCUUGAAAACCUGGAUUCCCUCACA